CCUAGUGGUUUUGGAUGAAGUGUAGAACAUACGGAUCUUACCAUCCAAGACUUCUUCAGUAACCUAUUGUCUAUUGACAAACGGGGUAAAAGCUAUAUUAAUUUGAAAUUCAUUAUUUGGGGAAAAAAAUUCAAAAUCACACAGGCAGCAGGAAAUACAUGAUAAAUUUUUAGAUAACAGCCAUCAUGAAUUUCUGUUGCCACAUCACGAGCUACAACUGGUCCGAAUGCUAGAAGACACGGGUUCAUGUUCACUCUUUCAAAGAUUACAAUAUCAUGUUCAUUCUAAAACACGGGGGUUCCCAAGUAACGAGAAUCUCUGAAAGAGUGAGACCCUAUAAACGGAGUAGAAUAGGGGUAAAAAAAAAAAAAACGUUUGAAGUUGGCAAUGAAUCCAUUCCCAGAAGACGUGCCACAACUCCUUGUGCUUUUGUUCCACAAUCUGUAUCAGUAUCACCACUUGCUGAUGAAACAUAAUGGUAAUCAAUAUGGCUUCUAGCAUUUGGACCAAACUAAUUUUCAUAAUCAGAAAACAUUUUACAAUUAAUGUAAACCCAAAAUAAUUGAAGAGACCCAAGCAAAUCAACAACUACGCAAUCAAAAUGAAAACAAAAAUGAAAAACUCGCACCUUUAAUCUAGCAACUGAAGAUCCAAUAACCGAUAAUUUAACUCCCAGCCUAGGCAGUGAAAGAUCGAAAAAAUUAUAAACAAAAAGGGGUACAAAUUGCAAUCAACCAAUAAUGAGGUAUUAUGCAAAAAAUACAAAAUUACCGGAUUAUCUUCAACAAUCUUCAAAUGUUGAAGGCCGAUCGACUUUGGAGAAACGAGAAAUUUUGAUUUUUUCUAAAGAUUGACUGAUUAAUUUGAGCCGCAGAUUUUUCUUCUUCUAUGGUUUCAUUGGUUUGUAAUUUGAAUCUUAUAUAGUAUAAAUAAAU
This 935-nucleotide long non-coding RNA is filed under the name Olea europaea subsp. europaea. Lineage: Eukaryota; Viridiplantae; Streptophyta; Magnoliopsida; Lamiales; Oleaceae. The record is from RNAcentral.